RNAcentral lists this ribosomal RNA (657 nucleotides) under Dasyrhadus impressicollis. Its description in RNAcentral is "partial 28S large subunit ribosomal RNA". It matches the Rfam family "Eukaryotic large subunit ribosomal RNA", at positions 656 to 1270 of the family's 3401-position model. Lineage: Eukaryota; Metazoa; Arthropoda; Insecta; Coleoptera; Rhadalidae. The record is from RNAcentral.
GAAACACGGACCAAGGAGUCUAGCAUGUGCGCGAGUCAUUGGGACAGUACGAAACCUAAAGGCGCAAUGAAAGUGAAGGUCCGCCUUGCGCGGGCCGAGGGAAGAUGGGCGGUCCGUAACAGGACCGCCUCGCAUUCCCGGGGCGUCUCGUUCUCAUCGCGAGAAGAGCCGCACCAAGAGCGUACACGCUGGGACCCGAAAGAUGGUGAACUAUGCCUGGUCAGGACGAAGUCAGGGGAAACCCUGAUGGAGGUCCGUAGCGAUUCUGACGUGCAAAUCGAUCGUCGGAACUGGGUAUAGGGGCGAAAGACUAAUCGAACCAUCUAGUAGCUGGUUCCCUCCGAAGUUUCCCUCAGGAUAGCUGGCGCUCGUCGCGUACGAGUCUCAUCCGGUAAAGCGAAUGAUUAGAGGCAUUGGGGUCGAAACGGCCUCAACCUAUUCUCAAACUUUAAAUGGGUGAGAUCUCCGGCUUGCUCGAAUCGAUGAAGCCGGAGAGACGGAUCAGAGUGCCAAGUGGGCCAUUUUUGGUAAGCAGAACUGGCGCUGUGGGAUGAACCAAACGCCGAGUUAAAGCGCCUAAAUCGACGCUUAUGGGACACCAUGAAAGGCGUUGGUAACUUAAGACAGCAGGACGGUGGCCAUGGAAGUCGGAAUCCG